Molecule: ribosomal RNA, 624 nt
Filed under: uncultured Faecalibacterium sp.
Lineage: Bacteria; Bacillati; Bacillota; Clostridia; Eubacteriales; Oscillospiraceae
Description: bacterial SSU rRNA
Rfam family: Bacterial small subunit ribosomal RNA
Source: RNAcentral
GACGAACGCUGGCGGCGCGCCUAACACAUGCAAGUCGAACGAGAGAGAAGGAGCUUGCUUCUUCGAUCGAGUGGCGAACGGGUGAGUAACGCGUGAGGAACCUGCCUCAAAGAGGGGGACAACAGUUGGAAACGACUGCUAAUACCGCAUAAGCCCACGGGUCGGCAUCGACCAGAGGGAAAAGGAGUGAUCCGCUUUGAGAUGGCCUCGCGUCCGAUUAGCUAGUUGGUGAGGUAACGGCCCACCAAGGCGACGAUCGGUAGCCGGACUGAGAGGUUGAACGGCCACAUUGGGACUGAGACACGGCCCAGACUCCUACGGGAGGCAGCAGUGGGGAAUAUUGCACAAUGGGGGAAACCCUGAUGCAGCGACGCCGCGUGGAGGAAGAAGGUCUUCGGAUUGUAAACUCCUGUUGUUGAGGAAGAUAAUGACGGUACUCAACAAGGAAGUGACGGCUAACUACGUGCCAGCAGCCGCGGUAAAACGUAGGUCACAAGCGUUGUCCGGAAUUACUGGGUGUAAAGGGAGCGCAGGCGGGAAGACAAGUUGGAAGUGAAAUCCAUGGGCUCAACCCAUGAACUGCUUUCAAAACUGUUUUUCUUGAGUAGUGCAGAGGUAGGCGGA